Molecule: ribosomal RNA, 461 nt
Filed under: uncultured bacterium
Lineage: Bacteria
Description: bacterial SSU rRNA
Rfam family: Bacterial small subunit ribosomal RNA
Source: RNAcentral
AAUGAACGCUGGCGGCGCGCCUAAUACAUGCAAGUCGAGCGAGAAGACGUAGCAAUACGCUUGUAAAGCGGCGAACGGGUGAGGAAUACAUGGGUAACCUACCCUCGAGUGGGGAAUAACUAGCCGAAAGGUUAGCUAAUACCGCGUACGCUCCUUGGACUUCGGUUCAGGGAGGAAAGCGAUACCGUGGGUAUCGCGCUCUUGGUUGGGCUCAUGUCCUAUCAGCUUGUUGGNGAGGUAACGGCUCACCAAGGCUUCGACGGGUAGCUGGUCUGAGAGGACGAUCAGCCACACUGGCACUGCGACACGGGCCAGACUCCUACGGGAGGCAGCAGUAAGGAAUAUUGCGCAAUGGGCGAAAGCCUGGCGCAGCGACGCCGCGUGGGGGAUGAAGGUCUUCGGAUUGUAAACCCCUUUCGGGAGGGAAGAUGGAACGAGCAAUCGUUCGGACGGUACCUCCA